RNAcentral lists this transfer RNA (77 nucleotides) under Nitrosopumilus zosterae. RNAcentral's name for it is "tRNA-Arg". It matches the Rfam family "tRNA". From Rfam's summary of the family: Transfer RNA (tRNA) molecules are approximately 80 nucleotides in length. Their secondary structure includes four short double-helical elements and three loops (D, anti-codon, and T loops). Further hydrogen bonds mediate the characteristic L-shaped molecular structure. tRNAs have two regions of fundamental functional importance: the anti-codon, which is responsible for specific mRNA codon recognition, and the 3' end, to which the tRNAs corresponding amino acid is attached (by aminoacyl-tRNA synthetases). tRNAs cope with the degeneracy of the genetic code in two manners: having more than one tRNA (with a specific anti-codon) for a particular amino acid; and 'wobble' base-pairing, i.e. permitting non-standard base-pairing at the 3rd anti-codon position. The record is from RNAcentral. Lineage: Archaea; Thermoproteati; Nitrososphaerota; Nitrososphaeria; Nitrosopumilales; Nitrosopumilaceae.
UGGACUCGUUGCAUAGCUUGGAUAGUGCGAUUGCUUGCGGAGCAAUAGGUCGUCGGUUCGAAUCCGAUCGGGUCCGU